GACGAACGCUGGCGGCGUGCUUAACACAUGCAAGUCGAACGGAAAGGCCCUGCUUUUGUGGGGUGCUCGAGUGGCGAACGGGUGAGUAACACGUGAGUAACCUGCCCUUGACUUUGGGAUAACUUCAGGAAACUGGGGCUAAUACCGGAUAGGAGCUCCUGCUGCAUGGUGGGGGUUGGAAAGUUUCGGCGGUUGGGGAUGGACUCGCGGCUUAUCAGCUUGUUGGUGGGGUAGUGGCUUACCAAGGCUUUGACGGGUAGCCGGCCUGAGAGGGUGACCGGCCACAUUGGGACUGAGAUACGGCCCAGACUCCUACGGGGGGCAGCAGUGGGGAAUAUUGCACAAUGGGCGGAAGCCUGAUGCAGCAACGCCGCGUGCGGGAUGACGGCCUUCGGGUUGUAAACCGCUUUCGCCUGUGACGAAGCGUGAGUGACGGUAAUGGGUAAAGAAGCACCGGCUAAUUACGUG
RNAcentral lists this ribosomal RNA (468 nucleotides) under uncultured bacterium. RNAcentral's name for it is "partial 16S ribosomal RNA". It matches the Rfam family "Bacterial small subunit ribosomal RNA", at positions 28 to 507 of the family's 1533-position model. The record is from RNAcentral.